AGGACGAACGCUGGCGGCGUGCCUAACACAUGCAAGUCGAACGGAGUGAUUUGGAUUCGUCUGGAUCACUUAGUGGCGGACGGGUGAGUAACGCGUGAGCAACCUGCCCUUCAGAGGGGGACAACAGUUGGAAACGACUGCUAAUACCGCAUAACAUAUAUUUGGGGCAUCUCAGAUAUAUCAAAGAUUUUAUCGCUGAGGGAUGGGCUCGCGUCUGAUUAGAUAGUUGGCGGGGUAACGGCCUACCAAGUCGACGAUCAGUAGCCGGACUGAGAGGUUGAACGGCCACAUUGGGACUGAGAUACGGCCCAGACUCCUACGGGAGGCAGCAGUGGGGAAUAUUGGGCAAUGGGGGCAACCCUGACCCAGCAACGCCGCGUGAAGGAAGAAGGCUUUCGGGUUGUAAACUUCUUUUAUGUGGGACGAUAGUGACGGUACCACAUGAAUAAGCCACGGCUAACUACGUGCCAGCAGCCGC
RNAcentral lists this ribosomal RNA (478 nucleotides) under uncultured bacterium. Its description in RNAcentral is "bacterial SSU rRNA". It matches the Rfam family "Bacterial small subunit ribosomal RNA", at positions 26 to 518 of the family's 1533-position model. The record is from RNAcentral.